RNAcentral lists this ribosomal RNA (253 nucleotides) under uncultured bacterium. RNAcentral's name for it is "partial 16S ribosomal RNA". It matches the Rfam family "Bacterial small subunit ribosomal RNA", at positions 524 to 776 of the family's 1533-position model. The record is from RNAcentral.
UACGGGGGGGGUAAGCGUUGUUCGGAAUUACUGGGCGUAAAGGGCUCGUAGGCGGCCAACUAAGUCAGACGUGAAAUCCCUCAGCUUAACUGGGGAACUGCGUCUGAUACUGGAUGGCUUGGAUCCGGGAGAGGGAUGCGGAAUUCCAGGUGUAGCGGUGAAAUGCGUAGAUAUCUGGAGGAACACCGGUAGCGAAGGCGGCAUCCUGGACCGGUAUUGACGCUGAGGAGCGAAAGCCAGGGGAGCAAACGGG